AGAGCGAACGCUGGCGGCAGGCCUAACACAUGCAAGUCGAGCGCCCGUAGCAAUACGGGAGCGGCAGACGGGAUAGUAACACGUGGGAACGCGCCCUUCGGUUCGGAAUAACUCAGGGAAACUUGAGCUAAUACCGAAUACGCCCUUACGGGGAAAGAUUUAUUGCCGAAGGAACGGCCCGCGUCCGAUUAGCUAGUUGGUGAGGUAAUGGCUCACCAAGGCUACGAUCGGUAGCUGGUCUGAGAGGAUGACCAGCAUCACUGGGACUGAGACACGGCCCAGACUCCUACGGGAGGCAGCAGUGGGGAAUAUUGGACAAUGGGCGCAAGCCUGAUCCAGCCAUGCCGCGUGGAUGAUGAAGGCCUUAGGGUUGUAAGUCUUUUAACGGGAGAUAAUGACGGUACCCGUAGAAUAAGCCCGGCUACUUCGUGCCAGCAGCCGC
Molecule: ribosomal RNA, 442 nt
Filed under: uncultured bacterium
Lineage: Bacteria
Description: SSU rRNA
Rfam family: Bacterial small subunit ribosomal RNA
Source: RNAcentral